GGAGGCAGCAGUGGGGAAUCUUAGACAAUGGGGGAAACCCUGAUCUAGCCAUGCCGCGUGAGUGACGAAGGCCCUAGGGUCGUAAAGCUCUUUCAGCUGUGAAGAUAAUGACGGUAGCAGCAGAAGAAACCCCGGCUAACUCCGUGCCAGCAGCCGCGGUAAUACGGAGGGGGUUAGCGUUGUUCGGAAUUACUGGGCGUAAAGCGCGCGUAGGCGGAUUAGUCAGUCAGAGGUGAAAUCCCAGGGCUCAACCCUGGAACUGCCUUUGAUACUGCUAGUCUCGAGUUC
This 288-nucleotide ribosomal RNA is filed under the name uncultured Paracoccaceae bacterium. RNAcentral describes it as "uncultured Rhodobacteraceae bacterium partial 16S ribosomal RNA". It matches the Rfam family "Bacterial small subunit ribosomal RNA", at positions 344 to 649 of the family's 1533-position model. Lineage: Bacteria; Pseudomonadati; Pseudomonadota; Alphaproteobacteria; Rhodobacterales; Paracoccaceae. The record is from RNAcentral.